Molecule: ribosomal RNA, 253 nt
Filed under: uncultured bacterium
Lineage: Bacteria
Description: partial 16S ribosomal RNA
Rfam family: Bacterial small subunit ribosomal RNA
Source: RNAcentral
UACGUAGGGUGCGAGCGUUAAUCGGAAUUACUGGGCGUAAAGCGUGCGCAGGCGGUUUUGUAAGCCAGAUGUGAAAUCCCCGGGCUUAACCUGGGAAUGGCAUUUGGGACUGCAAGGCUCGAGUGUGGCAGAGGGGGGUGGAAUUCCGCGUGUAGCAGUGAAAUGCGUAGAGAUGCGGAGGAACACCGAUGGCGAAGGCAGCCCCCUGGGCUAACACUGACGCUGAGGCACGAAAGCGUGGGGAGCAAACAGG